AUCGAUCAUUCGAGCGCCUGUGAAGAGCUAAGAAGGAAAUAUCAUGUAAAUUUUGARAGAUUUURGUGCUUCUAUAUAUGCUKUAUGGCGCUUCAGGGACUUCUUCAAAUACUAAAGGUGAAUCCAGGAAGCAUGAGGUAAACAUGAUGUAACUUAGACAAUGAUGRUGAUUUAAUAUGAUAGCAAUGUUUAAUAAUAUAAAUGUUGUUAACUCUAUCUCUGAUGCUAGCAUACACAUGGCCAUUAUAGUUACUUGAUCCUAUCAGCCUCUCCCAUCUCAUUCUUCAAGGGUAUAAGUCUAAUUACAUUCCUAUUAUCUGCCAAAUGGMAAAUUCAUCUUGUAAUUCAAGAAUUUACAAUUAUCAAUAAAGAGAUUCCUAUCAAUGA
Exaiptasia diaphana is the source of this 387-nucleotide long non-coding RNA. RefSeq lists it as uncharacterized. NCBI's taxonomy places the organism in Eukaryota, Metazoa, Cnidaria, Anthozoa, Actiniaria, Aiptasiidae. The record is from RefSeq and is a predicted model, not a curated record. The transcript is spliced from 3 exons.